UGCCCUCACAUGGCAGGAACAGUGUAAGC
This 29-nucleotide non-coding RNA is filed under the name Homo sapiens (human). The record is from RNAcentral. Lineage: Eukaryota; Metazoa; Chordata; Mammalia; Primates; Hominidae.